AUACGGAGGGCGCAAGCGUUGUUCGGAAUCAUUGGGCGUAAAGCGCGUGUAGGCGGCUUGGUAAGUCGGGUGUGAAAGCCCGGGGCUCAACCCCGGAAAUGCAUUCGAAACUGCCUGGCUAGAGUUCCGGAGAGGAAGGCAGAAUUCCCGGUGUAGAGGUGAAAUUCGUAGAUAUCGGGAGGAAUACCAGUGGCGAAGGCGGCCUUCUGGACGGCAACUGACGCUGAGACGCGAAAGCGUGGGGAGCAAACAGGAUUAGAAACCCCAGUAGUCC
Molecule: ribosomal RNA, 274 nt
Filed under: uncultured bacterium
Lineage: Bacteria
Description: partial 16S ribosomal RNA
Rfam family: Bacterial small subunit ribosomal RNA
Source: RNAcentral